This 252-nucleotide ribosomal RNA is filed under the name uncultured bacterium. RNAcentral's name for it is "partial 16S ribosomal RNA". It matches the Rfam family "Bacterial small subunit ribosomal RNA", at positions 524 to 776 of the family's 1533-position model. The record is from RNAcentral.
UACGUAGGGGGCGAGCGUUGUCCGGAAUUAUUGGGCGUAAAGGGUUCGCAGGUGGCCUUUUAAGUCAGAUGUGAAAGCCCACGGCUCAACCGUGGUAAGCAUUUGAAACUGGAAGGCUUGAGUUAAGGAGAGGAAAGUGGAAUUCCUAGUGUAGCGGUGAAAUGCGUAGAUAUUAGGAGGAAUACCAGUGGCGAAGGCGACUUUCUGGACUUAUACUGACACUGAGGAACGAAAGCGUGGGGAGCAAACAGG